CCCUCUUCCUCAAAAACUCAAAUUCCCCACUCAUCUCCCCCCUUUCCCUCCUAACCUAAUCAACCAUCUUCCUCAAAAACCCGAAUUCCCCUCUCAUCUCCUCCUUUCCCUCUUAACCUAACCCGAAUUCAUUUUCUCACAAAAUUACAUUCACAUCAACUGAAAGAAAAUAACUCAAUGGCUACUCUACUAUGAUCGAUGCCGUCAAAUCCUAUGGCUCAAACCUACUUGCUCUGUGCGCCGACGGAUAUCUUCGGUUUUUAAACUCAUUAGAGAUAGUGACCCAUGAAAUCCCGCAAGAGAUUCUGAUUUCAUAUAAUAUCUUCCGUAAAACGAUGAUCGAUUCAAAGACUUUUUUAGGGUUUUAGGAUCUUCCCCAAAUCUAUAUAUAGGUUUUGAAUGGAUAUCAAAUCAGAAGGUUCUACCAAAAGCUGUUUGAUUUGUUGAAUCUACAAGCUGAUAUGGAAAAGCGGAAGCAUAAGCUCAAGCGUCUCGUUCAAUUUCCAAUUCAUUUUUCAUGAUUCAUGGUUGAGAAUUGGAAUUAUCAGGAUAUUCAACUGCAUAAACCACCCUGUUCUUGACACUAUUCCAGUACUUGUAAUAGAAAAGUUGCUGAUAUAUAAUGGCGAUGAUAGUGCGAUACAACCAAAAUAGCAUCAGGUCACACCAUCUUUCUGGUAUGUGAUAGUAUCUAGAAAAUAGUCAAAAUAUACAAGAUAUAAUUCGGACCCUAUCUUUUACUAGAAGGUUUUCAGGUGGUUGAGGGCUCUUCAAGGUCCCUCACCUAGAUUGAAGUCCAGGGCGUGGACGAAGUACUAAUUGAAGAUUGAAGUGGUUAUGGAGGGCGGUGUGGUGAUGGUAUUUGAUGUGGGCUCUUCAAGGUCCCUCAUCUACAUUGAAGUCCAGGGGCGUGGACGAAGUACUAUUUGAAGAUUGAAGUGGUUACGGAGGGCAGUGUGGUGAUGGUGUUUGAUGUGGAACUGGUGGUUCAGCCGUGGAAGCAUUCAAAGGAGUUGUUAGGGUUCAAAUCAGUACAUGUGAAUAAGCAGAUGUCAGUCAAAUGUCAAGCCGAUUUACAUCAGAAUCUCGUGUAUACGCUGAUAAAGCAAAAGAUCUAAACUGCCAGUGAUAUCAUUUGAUCAUACGACAUGAGAAUUAGCCACCGGUUACAAGUUUACUCACCACCACGACACGGCAACAACAAGGUGGCCAACAACCAAUGGAUGCAAAUUUGCAGCACUUUCAAGUCCAAACGCAGUGAGUAUCGACUCGAAGAAAACAUCUUAGAAAUAGUUCUUAGUUUAUGUGUAUAGUCGUUUCCCUUUGUAACUUUUGUAGAUAUGUUUUGAUGAUAAGUUUAUGUUAUUAAUUAGUAUUUAGACCGAAAACUUAUGUAUGGAUUUGGGUUAUUAUUGUUAAUAUCAUUUGUUUU
RNAcentral lists this long non-coding RNA (1432 nucleotides) under Helianthus annuus (common sunflower). RNAcentral's name for it is "hypothetical non coding rna". Lineage: Eukaryota; Viridiplantae; Streptophyta; Magnoliopsida; Asterales; Asteraceae. The record is from RNAcentral.